RNAcentral lists this long non-coding RNA (1356 nucleotides) under Capsicum annuum. RNAcentral's name for it is "long non-coding RNA (CANN_LNC002391)". Lineage: Eukaryota; Viridiplantae; Streptophyta; Magnoliopsida; Solanales; Solanaceae. The record is from RNAcentral.
GACACACCAUUGGCUUUGCUCAUUGCAAAGAGUUUGCAAAUAGGAUUUUCCCUAAUGCUGAUCCAACAAUGAACCCAAUAUUAGUUGAAAGAUUAAGAAAAAUGUGUGCAAAUUACACUACCAACAAGGACAUGGCAGCCUUCUUAGAUGUCAUUAGUCCCGGUAAUUUUGACAAUGUAAUUUUCAAGAACAUAAUGAAGGGGAUAAGUGUACUAGGAUCAGACCAAAUAUUGUUCUCUGAUCCUCGAACAAAGCCAUUUGUAGAGCUAUAUGCCAAAGAUCCAGUUGCUUUUGCUAAUGAUUUUGGUAAAGCAAUGGAGAAAGUAAGUGUAUAUCAAGUCAAAAGUGGUGCACAAGGAGAAGUCAGAAAGAGAUGUGAUGCUAUUAAUGAUGCACACCAUUGAAAGAAUUUGAAAUGAGUUAAUGAGUAAUGAGUUUUCUUUUAUGAUUUUUUGUUUUGUUUUUUGAAUAAUGCACACCAUGAUGGGUAGAAUUUUGUGUUGCUAAUGAUAUGAUGAUCAAUGAUAAUAUUGGACAAGAAUGUUAUUAGUAUUUGUGAUUAUUUGAUUAAUUUUUUUUGUUGUUUUGUUAUUGUAAAGUUUGCAUGACCAAGAAGUGGAACAAGUAAUUUCCUUUUUAUGAAAUUUUGUUCCAUUAUUUUGGUAAGGAUAUAGUACCAUUACAUAUAUUGUGCAUUAAGGCCAUGUUAUUUCAAUUUCAAACUAAUAAAGUUAACAAUAUGUUAUGUUGAUUGUAUGCUUCUCAAUUAUUUGAGUAGCUUCGCUGGUUGGCUACGUAUACUUUCACCUUAUUGUUGAUUUGAAGACCAGUAACACGCGAUUUCAGCCCUGUGCUCUAACAUACGCACGUAAAUAUCAAACUUUUUGUAUACGGAAAAGUCUCUUAUCUGAAUAGCUUCGUCGGUUGGCUACAUGUACUUUCACCUUAUUGUUGAUUUGAAGACCAGUAACACGCGAUUUCAGCCCUGUGCUCUCACACAGGCACAUAAAUAUCAAACUUUUUGUAUCCGGAAAAAUCUCUUAUCUGAGUAGCUUCGUUGGUUGGCUACAUGUACUUUCACCUUAUUGUUGAUUUGAAGACCAGUAACACGCGAUUUCAGCCCUGUGCUCUCACACAGGCACAUAAAUAUCAAACUUUUUGUAUCCGGAAAAAUCUCUUAUCUGAGUAGCUUCGUUGGUUGGCUACAUGUACUUUCACCUUAUUGUUGAUUUGAAGACCAGUAACACGCGAUUUCAGCCCUGUGCUCUCACACAGGCACAUAAAUAUCAAACUUUUUGUAUCCGGAAAAAUCUCUUAUCUGAGUAGCUUCGUUGGUUGGCUACAUGUACUUUCACC